AGCGAACGUUUGCGGCGGGCUUAACACAUGCAAGUCGAACGAGGAUCCCUUCGGGGAGGAAAGUGGCGCACGGGUGCGUAACACGUGGAUAACCAACCCAUUGGUUUGGGACAACACCGGGAAACUGGUGCUAAUACCAGAUGUGUCGCAGCUGUCUUCAGGCGGUUGCGAGAAAGGCCCGCAAGGGUCGCCAACGGACGGGUCCGCGUCCCAUCAGCUAGUUGGUGAGGUAAUGGCUCACCAAGGCAAAGACGGGUAGCUGGUCUGAGAGGAUGAUCAGCCACACUGGAACUGAGACACGGUCCAGACUCCUACGGGAGGCAGCAGUGGGGAAUAUUGCGCAAUGGGCGAAAGCCUGACGCAGCCACGCCGCGUGAGCGAUGAAGGUCUUCGGAUCGUAAAGCUCUGUGGGGGGAGAAGAAGAAAGCCGGUGAAGAGCCGGCCUGACGGUAUCCCCUUAGCAAGCACCGGCUAACUCCGUGCCAGCAGCCGCGGUAAAGUG
RNAcentral lists this ribosomal RNA (502 nucleotides) under uncultured bacterium. RNAcentral describes it as "bacterial SSU rRNA". It matches the Rfam family "Bacterial small subunit ribosomal RNA", at positions 29 to 527 of the family's 1533-position model. The record is from RNAcentral.